This 492-nucleotide ribosomal RNA is filed under the name uncultured bacterium. RNAcentral describes it as "partial 16S ribosomal RNA". It matches the Rfam family "Bacterial small subunit ribosomal RNA", at positions 29 to 507 of the family's 1533-position model. The record is from RNAcentral.
AGUGAACGCUGGCGGUAGGCCUAACACAUGCAAGUCGAACGGCAGCACAGUAAGAGCUUGCUCUUACGGGUGGCGAGUGGCGGACGGGUGAGGAAUACAUCGGAAUCUACUUUUUCGUGGGGGAUAACGUAGGGAAACUUACGCUAAUACCGCAUACGACCUACGGGUGAAAGCAGGGGAUCUUCGGACCUUUCGCGAUUGAAUGAGCCGAUGUCGGAUUAGCUAGUUGGCGGGGUAAAGGCCCACCAAGGCGACGAUCCGUAGCUGGUCUGAGAGGAUGAUCAGCCACACUGGAACUGAGACACGGUCCAGACUCCUACGGGAGGCAGCAGUGGGGAAUAUUGGACAAUGGGCGCAAGCCUGAUCCAGCCAUGCCGCGUGAGUGAAGAAGGCCUUCGGGUUGUAAAGCCCUUUUGUUGGGAAAGAAAAGCAGCAGGUUAAUACCCCGCUGUUCUGACGGUACCCAAAGAAUAAGCACCGGCUAACUUCGUG